UGGGGAAUAUUGCACAAUGGGCGCAAGCCUGAUGCAGCAACGCCGCGUGAACGAUGAAGGUCUUCGGAUCGUAAAGUUCUGUUGCAGGGGAAGAUAAUGACGGUACCCUGUGAGGAAGCCCCGGCUAACUACGUGCCAGCAGCCGCGGUAAUACGUAGGGGGCUAGCGUUAUCCGGAUUUACUGGGCGUAAAGGGUGCGUAGGUGGUCCUUCAAGUCGGUGGUUAAAGGCUACGGCUCAACCGUAGUAAGCCGCCGAAACUGGAGGACUUGAGUGCAGGAGAGGAAAGUGGAAUUCCCAGUGUAGCGGUGAAAUGCGUAGAUAUUGGGAGGAACACCAGUAGCGAAGGCGGCUUUCUGGACUGCAACUGACACUGAGGCACGAAAGCGUGGGUAGAAAACAGG
RNAcentral lists this ribosomal RNA (403 nucleotides) under Verrucomicrobiota bacterium. Its description in RNAcentral is "Verrucomicrobia bacterium partial 16S ribosomal RNA". It matches the Rfam family "Bacterial small subunit ribosomal RNA", at positions 355 to 776 of the family's 1533-position model. The record is from RNAcentral. Lineage: Bacteria; Pseudomonadati; Verrucomicrobiota.